GGGGAAUAUUGGACAAUGGGCGCAAGCCUGAUCCAGCCAUGCCGCGUGAGUGAUGAAGGCCUUAGGGUUGUAAAGCUCUUUCGUCAGGGACGAUAAUGACGGUACCUGAAGAAGAAGCCCCGGCUAACUUCGUGCCAGCAGCCGCGGUAAUACGAAGGGGGCUAGCGUUGUUCGGAUUUACUGGGCGUAAAGGGUGCGUAGGCGGAUUUUUAAGUCAGGGGUGAAAUCCCAAGGCUCAACCUUGGAACUGCCUUUGAUACUGGGGAUCUUGAGUCCGGGAGAGGUGAGUGGAACUGCGAGUGUAGAGGUGAAAUUCGUAGAUAUUCGCAAGAACACCAGUGGCGAAGGCGGCUCACUGGCCCGGAACUGACGCUGAGGCACGAAAGCGUGGGGAGCAAAC
RNAcentral lists this ribosomal RNA (400 nucleotides) under uncultured bacterium. RNAcentral describes it as "bacterial SSU rRNA". It matches the Rfam family "Bacterial small subunit ribosomal RNA", at positions 356 to 773 of the family's 1533-position model. The record is from RNAcentral.